This 394-nucleotide ribosomal RNA is filed under the name uncultured bacterium. Its description in RNAcentral is "partial 16S ribosomal RNA". It matches the Rfam family "Bacterial small subunit ribosomal RNA", at positions 338 to 729 of the family's 1533-position model. The record is from RNAcentral.
CCUACGGGUGGCAGCAGUGAGGAAUAUUGGUCAAUGGACGAGAGUCUGAACCAGCCAAGUAGCGUGAAGGAUGACUGCCCUAUGGGUUGUAAACUUCUUUUAUAUGGGAAUAAAAUGUUCCACGUGUGGGAUUCUGUAUGUACCAUACGAAUAAGGAUCGGCUAACUCCGUGCCAGCAGCCGCGGUAAUACGGAGGAUCCGAGCGUUAUCCGGAUUUAUUGGGUUUAAAGGGAGCGUAGGUGGUUGGUUAAGUCAGUUGUGAAAGUCUGGGGCUCAACCAUAGAAUUGCCGUUGAAACUGGCAGGCUUGAGUGCAGUAGAGGUAGGCGGAAUGCGUGGUGUAGCGGUGAAAUGCUUAGAGAUCACACAGAACUCCGAUUGCGAAGGCAGCUCAC